RNAcentral lists this ribosomal RNA (2694 nucleotides) under Triticum aestivum (bread wheat). Its description in RNAcentral is "partial small subunit ribosomal RNA". The record is from RNAcentral. Lineage: Eukaryota; Viridiplantae; Streptophyta; Magnoliopsida; Poales; Poaceae.
AUGGGUUCUUUGGCGGCAGCCGACGGGGCCGGUCAUGCGAGCAAUGGCGCCGGCGUCGCGGACCAGGCGCUGGCGCUCGAGAACGGCACCGGCAAUGGGCACAAGGCCGGCGUCGCCGACAGAGAGACGCCAGUACUGCAGGCGAACGGCGGCAGCAAGGUGGCGAAGAAGAUCAGCCCGAAGGACAAGUACUGGGUGGCCGCCGACGAGGGGGAGAUGGCGGCGGCCAUAGCGGACGGCGGCGAGGACGGCCGGCGGCCGCUGCUGUACCGGACGUUCAAAGUCAAGGGCAUCCUCCUGCAUCCCUACAGGUUGCUGAGCUUGAUCAGAUUGGUUGCUAUCGUCCUAUUUUUCGUAUGGCGUGUCAGACACCCAUACGCUGAUGGCAUGUGGCUCUGGUGGAUAUCGAUGGUUGGGGAUCUUUGGUUUGGCGUCACUUGGUUGCUAAACCAAGUUGCAAAGCUCAAUCCUGUCAAGCGUGUCCCCAACCUUGCCCUCUUGGAACAGCAGUUUGAUCUCCCUGACGGCAACUCCAACCUUCCUUGCCUUGAUGUCUUCAUCAACACCGUUGAUCCCAUUAAUGAACCUAUGAUAUACACUAUGAACUCCAUCAUAUCCAUCCUUGCUGCAGACUAUCCAGUUGACAAGCAUGCUUGCUACCUCUCAGAUGAUGGUGGGUCAAUAAUCCAUUAUGAUGGUUUGCUUGAGACUGCAAAAUUUGCUGCAUUAUGGGUUCCCUUUUGCCGAAAACAUUCCAUUGAGCCAAGGGCCCCUGAGAGCUAUUUUUCUUUGAAUACACGCCCAUACACUGGAAAUGCACCACAAGACUUUGUCAACGACCGCAGACACAUGUGUAGAGAGUAUGAUGAGUUCAAGGAGCGGUUAGAUGCACUUUUUACCCUUAUUCCCAAGCGGUCAGAUGUGUACAAUCAUGCUGCUGCCAAAGAAGGUGCAAAGGCAACUUGGAUGGCAGAUGGGACACAGUGGCCAGGCACAUGGAUUGACCCAGCUGAAAACCAUAAGAAAGGACAACAUGUUGGAAUCGUUAAGGUUAUGUUGAAACAUCCAAGUUAUGAACCAGAACUUGGUCUAGGAGCAAGCACCAACAGUCCUCUAGACUUCAGUGCGGUUGAUGUGCGCCUCCCAAUGCUUGUUUACAUCUCCCGUGAGAAGAGUCCAAGCUGUGAUCAUCAAAAGAAGGCAGGUGCCAUGAACGUACAGUUGCGAGUCUCUGCCCUCCUGACCAAUGCUCCCUUCAUCAUCAACUUUGAUGGUGACCACUACGUCAACAACUCGAAAGCCUUCCGUGCUGGCAUAUGUUUCAUGCUCGAUCGCCGUGAAGGUGACAAUACUGCCUUUGUCCAGUUUCCUCAACGCUUCGAUGAUGUUGAUCCCACAGAUAGGUACUGCAAUCACAAUCGUGUCUUCUUUGACGCCACCUUGCUCGGCCUCAAUGGCAUCCAAGGGCCGUCUUAUGUUGGCACUGGUUGCAUGUUCCGCCGUGUCGCACUUUACGGUGUUGACCCACCUCGCUGGAGACCUGAUGACGUCAAGAUCGUGGACAGCUCCACCAAGUUUGGCAGUUCAGCGUCAUUCAUCAGCUCAAUACUGCCAGCAGCAGACCAAGAACGCUCCAUCAUGUCGCCGCCGGCACUUGAAGAGUCUGUCAUGGCUGACUUAGCUCAUGUCAUGACAUGUGCAUAUGAGGACGGGACUGAAUGGGGCAGCGACGUUGGUUGGGUGUACAACAUUGCAACCGAGGAUGUGGUGACCGGCUUCCGGCUGCACCGGAAUGGGUGGCGAUCCAUGUACUGCCGCAUGGAGCCAGAUGCAUUCGCCGGCACCGCGCCAAUCAACCUCACUGAGCGGCUCUACCAGAUCUUGCGCUGGUCGGGGGGCUCCCUUGAGAUGUUCUUCUCGCGCAACUGCCCACUCCUGGCUGGUCGCCGCCUCCACCCAAUGCAGAGAAUUGCCUAUGCCAACAUGACAGCCUACCCAGUUUCAUCUGUCUUUCUUGUGUUCUAUCUCCUCUUCCCGGUGAUAUGGAUCUUCCGUGGGCAAUUCUACAUACAGAAGCCAUUUCCCACAUAUGUAUUGUACCUCGUCAUCGUCAUUGCCCUGACCGAGUUAAUCGGUAUGGUUGAGAUCAAGUGGGCUGGGCUCACGCUGCUGGACUGGAUCCGCAACGAGCAGUUCUACAUUAUUGGUGCAACAGCCGUGUACCCUACAGCAGUAUUUCACAUAGUGCUGAAGUUGUUUGGCCUGAAGGGUGUUUCCUUCAAGCUUACGGCGAAACAGGUAGCAAGCAGUACCAGCGACAAGUUUGCUGAACUGUAUGCCGUGCAGUGGGCUCCGAUGCUGAUCCCUACCAUGGUGGUGAUAGCGGUGAAUGUUUGUGCCAUUGGCGCGUCGAUAGGCAAGGCGAUAGUGGGAGGAUGGUCACUGAUGCAGAUGGCAGAUGCAGGACUUGGGCUGGUGUUCAACGCGUGGAUUCUGGUGCUGAUCUACCCGUUUGCACUGGGCAUGAUUGGACGGUGGAGCAAGAGGCCCUACAUCCUGUUCAUUCUGUUUGUCAUUGCGUUUAUUUUGAUCGCGUUGGUGGAUAUCGCCAUCCAGGCCAUGCGCUCUGGGUUUGUUCGGUUCCACUUCAAAAGCUCUGGUGGCGCCACUUUUCCCACAAGCUGGGGUUUGUAA